Molecule: long non-coding RNA, 1830 nt
Organism: Lates calcarifer (barramundi perch)
Lineage: Eukaryota; Metazoa; Chordata; Actinopteri; Centropomidae
Exons: 6
Source: RefSeq, a predicted model, not a curated record
GUUGCUGAUCACAUGUUGCAUACUGACAAACAACAGGAAACAAGGGUGCUUGAUAGAGAAGUUCAAACACUUCCUACUUUCUCUUCUUCGCAGCUGGCUGCCUGAAGUGGUUGCGAAUGUCAGAUUGCUGGUUUUCAGAAAGCUAGAGAUAUUGCUGGACAUGGUCCCUAAAAUCUGAUGUUGGAAAAGUUCUAAUGAAGCAUAUUGGCACCUUCUACAAGUGGAUUCGGGGAUGUUAUUGAGGCUUAUGACAUGCUAUGUACAGCAGAGUGCCGGCCAAGUCUGGGAGAGGGACUGCCCAUCAGAGGUUGGCUGCUAUCAGCAGGGGGCCGCAUGUCUCCAAUUCAGGUCAGCCUUGGCUACAGACGGGGACUUUAAAGCAAGCCACAACGCGUCCUGUGAUCCCAGUGCCAUCUGUCUGUAGUCCCACAGUCCCCGAGCCAUGUGGGCCGGCCUGCCUGGCGCCUGCCAACGUCACUGACCUGCAGCAACCGUCCACACCUCCGUCACACACCUCCUGAUCCGUCUGGGAUAAAUAGCUUCUCCCUCAACUUCUGUGCCGCCAUCACGGCUUCCCAAUCUGUCCUGUGUUAGAAGGGGGAGAGGGAGGGGGGUGACAGGAAGAGACGGGGAGGGAGGGAGAGAGACAAAUGAGAGUCAGGAACCGAUAGAUGGAUGGAUGGAGUGAGCACGAGCAAGAGAUGGAGAUGGAUGUCUGCAGAGAUAAAAGGUUAAGAUAAUUUAGGAUUUGGCACAGCAUCGACCUGCAGCUCGCCACUUUAAGAGGCACUCCAACAGGCAAGGGAGGUCACCUUCACCUGGUCCUGAUGUUGGGGCAGCUGUGUGUUGAAAAAUGAGAUCAGCUGCUUGCUCACCGGGACGCAUGCGGCAGUCUGGAACUACCCAGGGCCUAGUGUACCAGCUAGCAUACGGCGGCCCCGGUACAAUAAAGACAGAGCGAAACGGCCCCCUCUCUCCCCAGCCCUGUCUGCCUGCCUGCCAUCCUGGGGCAUGUUGGGUCACCUUGACGACUGGGCCCAGCGAGGGGAGCCUCACCCCACUUCAGGGCAAAGACGGAGGCAGUAUGGAAGGGACAACAGCUUGUUGGAGAAACCUCUCAGGAGUUCUUAGUCCAGGAAGGAGGAGAUUCAUGGGCAUCAUGGUGGAGGUCAGCAAGUCAUGUGCUCUUCAGAGUGAAAUACUUGUAAGGGUUACAGGGGUUGCUGAUCGAUCCAAGACCAAAACCCAACGGACAUCCACGUUCGGAAGGAGCCAACACAUCUAGCUGAGAAAAUAGCGUAAAUCAGCCACCCAUGAAAUGUUCAUUUAAAAAGAAGAAGGAGAAGAAGGAAAAUAAAAAAGAUUUUCCAGUCCAAGUACGCCUAGUUAUAAUGACUGUCGGAGAUGAGGUUUAAUCAUUCUGCAUCUUGGUCUCAUAAAGAGAGGGAAGGUACAGUAUUCCCCCAUGUUGACUCAACGUUAAACAUUCUCUAAUAGCCUCCGAAACGGUGCGGCAUCCCAUGAAGCCACUGGAAUCCCUGGACUAGUGGAACGAGACCCAGUGGGAAUUUUCUGACCACCUCUACUCACACACAGUCACAGCUAAUGCACACUUUGCGGAGGCAGUAUGUAUGCUGUUACGGUUAAGAACUUUGAGAGGAGUUUUAAACUGGUUCAUGUAACAAGAAGCAACUAGAAAAAUAUCCCCAUAAGUGAAAAAUGAAAAACUGAAGGUUGCUGUCCGCAUGGAGACGCAAAUGCGCAAGUUUGUUUUUCAUUAGCUUGGCUUGUUUGACAGGAAUAAAGCUCCACACAGUUUUCUGCCGGGAA